UCCAUUUUCCUUUGGGUGAGCCUGCCUGGU
RNAcentral lists this non-coding RNA (30 nucleotides) under Homo sapiens (human). Lineage: Eukaryota; Metazoa; Chordata; Mammalia; Primates; Hominidae. The record is from RNAcentral.